GGGGGCGUAGCUCAGUUGGUUAGAGUGCCGGCCUGUCACGCCGGAGGUCGCGGGUUCGAGCCCCGUCGCUCCCGCCA
Molecule: transfer RNA, 77 nt
Filed under: Prosthecodimorpha hirschii
Lineage: Bacteria; Pseudomonadati; Pseudomonadota; Alphaproteobacteria; Hyphomicrobiales; Ancalomicrobiaceae
Also listed under: 16 other names
Description: Prosthecomicrobium hirschii tRNA-Asp
Rfam family: tRNA
About the family: Transfer RNA (tRNA) molecules are approximately 80 nucleotides in length.
Source: RNAcentral